GUUUUGUGGUGAUCCCCGCCAACCUCACCUGCGACUCUUACGAUGCAAUAUUGAAAGGCCUGGACAACGCUUUGGUGGUUCUCCCAUCUGCAGUUGGAGCGGAGCUGAAGUCAAGCAUAGACGAACUUCGACAGUCACCACCAGAAGGCUGCACGCCUCCUCGUCCUGUGGGUUUCUGCAAAGAGACAAUAGUGGAUGGUGAGUCAGAUCACAGGAUGCUAGUUUGCGA
This is a long non-coding RNA of Carassius auratus (goldfish), 229 nucleotides long. RefSeq lists it as uncharacterized. The record is from RefSeq and is a predicted model, not a curated record. NCBI's taxonomy places the organism in Eukaryota, Metazoa, Chordata, Actinopteri, Cypriniformes, Cyprinidae. The transcript has 4 exons.